CCGACCUUAGCUCAGCUGGCAGAGCGCGAGACUGUAAAUCUUGAGGUCGCCUGUUCGAACCAGGCAGGUCGGA
Molecule: transfer RNA, 73 nt
Filed under: Galerina marginata CBS 339.88
Lineage: Eukaryota; Fungi; Basidiomycota; Agaricomycetes; Agaricales; Galerinaceae
Also listed under: 1 other name
Description: tRNA-Tyr (GTA) (tRNA-Tyr-GTA-1-1)
Rfam family: tRNA
About the family: Transfer RNA (tRNA) molecules are approximately 80 nucleotides in length. Their secondary structure includes four short double-helical elements and three loops (D, anti-codon, and T loops).
Source: RNAcentral